This 279-nucleotide ribosomal RNA is filed under the name uncultured bacterium. Its description in RNAcentral is "partial 16S ribosomal RNA". It matches the Rfam family "Bacterial small subunit ribosomal RNA", at positions 506 to 784 of the family's 1533-position model. The record is from RNAcentral.
UGCCAGCCGCCGCGGUAAGACAGAGGGUGCAAACGUUGCUCGGAAUUACUGGGCGUAAAGCGCGUGUAGGCGGGCUGGAAAGUCAGAUGUGAAAUCCCUGGGCUCAACCCAGGAACUGCAUUUGAAACUUCCAGCCUUGAGUACUGGAGAGGAAAGCGGAAUUCCUGGUGUAGAGGUGAAAUUCGUAGAUAUCAGGAGGAACACCGGUGGCGAAGGCGGCUUUCUGGACAGUUACUGACGCUGAGACGCGAAAGCGUGGGGAGCAAACAGGAUUAGAUA